Molecule: ribosomal RNA, 1017 nt
Filed under: Escherichia coli
Lineage: Bacteria; Pseudomonadati; Pseudomonadota; Gammaproteobacteria; Enterobacterales; Enterobacteriaceae
Description: partial 23S ribosomal RNA
Rfam family: Bacterial large subunit ribosomal RNA
Source: RNAcentral
UCAUUAACUGAAUCCAUAGGUUAAUGAGGCGAACCGGGGGAACUGAAACAUCUAAGUACCCCAAGGAAAAGAAAUCAACCGAGAUUCCCCCAGUAGCGGCGAGCGAACGGGGAGCAGCCCAGAGCCUGAAUCAGUGUGUGUGUUAGUGGAAGCGUCUGGAAAGGCGCGCGAUACAGGGUGACAGCCCCGUACACAAAAAUGCACAUGCUGUGAGCUCGAUGAGUAGGGCGGGACACGUGGUAUCCUGUCUGAAUAUGGGGGGACCAUCCUCCAAGGCUAAAUACUCCUGACUGACCGAUAGUGAACCAGUACCGUGAGGGAAAGGCGAAAAGAACCCCGGCGAGGGGAGUGAAAAAGAACCUGAAACCGUGUACGUACAAGCAGUGGGAGCACAGAGCAAUCUGUGUGACUGCGUACCUUUUGUAUAAUGGGUCAGCGACUUAUAUUCUGUAGCAAGGUUAACCGAAUAGGGGAGCCGAAGGGAAACCGAGUCUUAACUGGGCGUUAAGUUGCAGGGUAUAGACCCGAAACCCGGUGAUCUAGCCAUGGGCAGGUUGAAGGUUGGGUAACACUAACUGGAGGACCGAACCGACUAAUGUUGAAAAAUUAGCGGAUGACUUGUGGCUGGGGGUGAAAGGCCAAUCAAACCGGGAGAUAGCUGGUUCUCCCCGAAAGCUAUUUAGGUAGCGCCUCGUGAAUUCAUCUCCGGGGGUAGAGCACUGUUUCGGCAAGGGGGUCAUCCCGACUUACCAACCCGAUGCAAACUGCGAAUACCGGAGAAUGUUAUCACGGGAGACACACGGCGGGUGCUAACGUCCGUCGUGAAGAGGGAAACAACCCAGACCGCCAGCUAAGGUCCCAAAGUCAUGGUUAAGUGGGAAACGAUGUGGGAAGGCCCAGACAGCCAGGAUGUUGGCUUAGAAGCAGCCAUCAUUUAAAGAAAGCGUAAUAGCUCACUGGUCGAGUCGGCCUGCGCGGAAGAUGUAACGGGGCUAAACCAUGCACCGAAGCUGCGGC